UCUCGUCAAUUGUUUCGCAGUUCCUGGGAAGUGAAUGUAUCCUUGGGUCGAAUGAGUCUCCAAAUCAAAAUUCUUAUUGUUUCUCGAGUCUGGUGCAGUUUUCACUGGGAAUUACAAGUGUUGGAAAACACCCGAAUAUUAUUUAAAUUAUUGGCAAGUGCACGAACCUAUCCAGCUCGCUCUGUCGUGUUGUUGCUGUUUUGUUACAGAGAGGUAUCGAAAUUUAAUUCUCCUUUAUUUUUCAUUGGCGAAAUAAUUAUACAGUUGCUUCAUCAUCAGUUAUAUAAAAAAUUCGACAUCAAUCGCCAUAAGAGUUUCGUCCUGUCUUUCACUGCAGCUUUCACUGCAAGAGCUAGAUGGACGAAACAGCAAACACCGCUGUUUCGACCCAUCAGAUCUCAUCAGUGUUAUUAGGAUAAAAUACUUAACUGAUAUCUCCCCCUACGGAACUGAUAUUAUAUCUGAUAUUAUGUCUGAUAUUCUGUCAUCUUCGUGGGGAAGAUUGUUAAUUAUCGCUGUUACUUUCAGACUUGUCUUCUUCAGGACAGUUCAGUGAUUCAGCCUAGCACAACUGAUGAGACCUGCUGGGUCGAAACAACGCUGUCUGGUAUUGGAUUACAAGUCCAUACUCAAUUAUUUGUAUUUUUUCAACAUAUUUGAAACGAUCAUCGAUAUGUUUUCAGUAAAGCAAGUGGAAUUCUCAAAAAUAUAGUCAAUUAACAUGAA
Leptinotarsa decemlineata (Colorado potato beetle) is the source of this 726-nucleotide long non-coding RNA. The record is from RefSeq and is a predicted model, not a curated record. Lineage: Eukaryota; Metazoa; Arthropoda; Insecta; Coleoptera; Chrysomelidae.